Non-coding RNA from Phrynosoma platyrhinos (Desert horned lizard), 71 nucleotides. The record is from the annotation of a GenBank genome assembly. NCBI's taxonomy places the organism in Eukaryota, Metazoa, Chordata, Lepidosauria, Squamata, Phrynosomatidae.
GCCAGCGUGGUGUAGUGGUUUGAACACUGGACUGCAACUCUGGAGACUAGAGUUUGAAUCCCCAUUUGGCA